GGUGUGAGAGUGCUGUGUGAGAUGGGUGUGAGAGAGUGCUCUGUGAGAGUGCUGUGAGAGAGUGCUGUGUGUGUGUGAAAGUGCUGUGUGUGAUGGGUGUGAGAGUGCUGUGUGUGUGUGAGUGCUCUGUGAGAGUGCGCUGUGUGUGAUGGUGUGAGAGUGCUGGGUGUGAGUGAUGGGUCUGAGAGUGCUGUGUGAGAGUGAUGUGUG
Molecule: non-coding RNA, 210 nt
Organism: Pelobates cultripes (western spadefoot toad)
Lineage: Eukaryota; Metazoa; Chordata; Amphibia; Anura; Pelobatidae
Source: the annotation of a GenBank genome assembly